UACGUAGGGUCCGAGCGUUGUCCGGAAUUAUUGGGCGUAAAGGGCUCGUAGGCGGUUCGUCACGUCGGGAGUGAAAACUCGGAGCUUAACUCCGAGCCUGCUUCCGAUACGGGCAGACUAGAGGUAGGCAGGGGAGAGCGGAACUCCUGGUGUAGCGGUGGAAUGCGCAGAUAUCAGGAGGAACACCAAUGGCGAAGGCAGAUCUCUGGGCCGUAACUGACGCUGAGGAGCGAAAGCGUGGGGAGCGAACAGG
This 253-nucleotide ribosomal RNA is filed under the name uncultured bacterium. RNAcentral describes it as "partial 16S ribosomal RNA". It matches the Rfam family "Bacterial small subunit ribosomal RNA", at positions 524 to 776 of the family's 1533-position model. The record is from RNAcentral.